RNAcentral lists this non-coding RNA (30 nucleotides) under Cricetulus griseus (Chinese hamster). The record is from RNAcentral. Lineage: Eukaryota; Metazoa; Chordata; Mammalia; Rodentia; Cricetidae.
GAGAAUGAAUGCCUGUGAUAGAAUUGAUGG